GGGGUCGUUCUGGAUUCGACAUGUGUAAUAGCGUGUGGGCCGCACUCCGUAGCGUCAACUACGUUAAAAGGGCACAGUUUAAUUAUAACUGCAAAAAAUAAUAACACUUACGCUGUAGCUGCUUAAUACCAGUUUAGCGUGAUCCACCUGGAUUAGUCCCGAGUUCAGUCGUGGGUCCAAAAUUGAGGGACUACGUUUAACUAUGCAUUCUGAAUAGUUAAAAAGAGAUAAUCAGGAUAGUCACUAUGAUUAACCUGGUUGUGUGGUGCACAUAGUGGCGAAAUUUAAGUAGCACAACUAUGAGUGUAGAAGUUUACAUUGCGUUAUGCUUGGACGCGGGUUCGACUCCCGCCGACUCCAUUG
RNAcentral lists this transfer-messenger RNA (363 nucleotides) under Lactobacillus sp. YT155. It matches the Rfam family "transfer-messenger RNA". From Rfam's summary of the family: Bacterial tmRNA, also known as 10Sa RNA or SsrA, is named for its dual tRNA and mRNA-like properties. Its role is to liberate the mRNA from a stalled ribosome. The record is from RNAcentral. Lineage: Bacteria; Bacillati; Bacillota; Bacilli; Lactobacillales; Lactobacillaceae.